Molecule: transfer RNA, 72 nt
Filed under: Bos taurus (domestic cattle)
Lineage: Eukaryota; Metazoa; Chordata; Mammalia; Artiodactyla; Bovidae
Also listed under: 2 other names
Rfam family: tRNA
About the family: Transfer RNA (tRNA) molecules are approximately 80 nucleotides in length. Their secondary structure includes four short double-helical elements and three loops (D, anti-codon, and T loops).
Source: Rfam by way of RNAcentral
UCCUUGGAGGUCCAGUGGUUAGGACUCUGCACUUCCACUGCAAGGGCAGGGGUUCAACUCCUGGUCAGGGAA